UCUCUCUGAAUCUGCGUACGGCUCCGCACACCAGUUGUAAACCAAAGCAAGCAAGCUCGAUCUCAACGCCUUUCGGGGCUAGGGGUCGGGCUAUAAGGAUAACCCUGGUAAUUCUGAGGCUAAUACUUGACACUAACUUGCCGACUGGACCUCGGUCUGGGAAGCAGGGGAUGUGCGACUAUCGGGCCAACGAAACCGGAAAGAGCGCACGUUCAGACCACUUAAAAAGGCUACGGGGUCCCUCGGGAUCCCGGAGCUGUGGCUCUUGCAGCGUGCUUCUGACCUAUCAACUAGACGGCAGCCUAAAGGACAUGCUUUGGUGACAACGGGUACAGAGGAUAAGGGUUCGAUCCUGGAGAGUGGGCCUGAGAGAUU
Molecule: ribosomal RNA, 375 nt
Filed under: Meriderma spinulosporum (nom. ined.)
Lineage: Eukaryota; Evosea; Eumycetozoa; Stemonitida; Stemonitidae
Description: SSU rRNA
Rfam family: Eukaryotic small subunit ribosomal RNA
Source: RNAcentral